Molecule: long non-coding RNA, 21985 nt
Filed under: Trifolium pratense (red clover)
Lineage: Eukaryota; Viridiplantae; Streptophyta; Magnoliopsida; Fabales; Fabaceae
Description: long non-coding RNA (TPRA_LNC003852)
Source: RNAcentral
AGCCUUCUUCCAAUUGAAGGUUUAAAUAAUUAGUUGUUUUUUUUGUUUUAGCCCAAAGGUAUAUUACUGUGCUAUUAGGUGAUUUAAUUUUGUUUCCCUUUUUUUUUCUACAUAAAGAUGAAAAAUGUUUCUUUUUGUCUUAGUGAUGUCAAAGACACCAGUGACUUCAAGCUUGAAAUACACUGUUGUUCCAUCUCCACAUCAGAUGAAAUCCAUUGCAGAAUGGUUGAAAUCAGACCCAUAUUUCCAAGAAUAAGUUCAGGUUUCUUGAUGGUUUUCUCCCUGCUCCGACAAAUUUGAUCUGAGCUAUAAUGACUCUCAAUAAUCUAACUAUCACAUUUUUGGAUCUUGAACUCUGCAAGUCCUCCAUCGCCAACACCAUUCCAAGGUUUGGUGAAUUCGAAGAGAAAUGUUUGCAGCUAGAAGUUUAUCCAUUCAAGCAAGGUCUAUUAGUUCUGUAACAACCCACUUGUUUUUUUUUAUACUUCAAAGGCAUAAAUACCCAACUUUGCUUAUCAAUUUUUUAUUGCCUAGGUACUUGGAUCAAUAUAAUUUAAUUGCUAUUAGUAUUACCAUUAUCAUAUUAAAUAAUAAUAUCUCUCAUGAUAUUUUUUUUCAAGAGUUGUUGAUACUAAUACUAUGCUAGUGUGUGUGUGUGUCUGUGUGAUGGAAUCGGAGAGUAUUGAAUAUGAGACAAGGGAAAAUGAAGUAUUAAUGCAUCAUAGACAAAAUAUAUUUAUUAAUAUAGUUGAAAGCUAGCUAGUGCCUGUUAUCCUUUCUUUCUUUGUUCUGCAUUUGAGCUAAGCAAUUGUCAAAUGAGUAAAAUGAAAGAAAUGAAAUUAAUACACCUCAAGUCCCCUAAUUAUAAUUAACAUAAUGUUCAUAAAUAUCUUAGUUUAUGUAGUAUUUGAUGAUUGAAUUGGAGAAUUUAAUUAAUCAAAUAUAAAUUUUAUAAGUGAAAUAUUAUUGUAUUUUUGCUAGCACUAAAAAUACAAAUAAUAUAUAGGACAAAACUUAUAUGCUGUACCAUAUGUCCUGUUUUUACUCUUACCCAAUUAUAAUACAACACCUGUAACAUAUAUUCCACGUCACACGUUUUCUCUUAACCCUUAUUUUUCCGUUAAUUGGCUUGGUCUUUCUCUCUCGAUUGCAGGUACUCAUAAAAAACAAAGGCUAAUCAUCACAUUAAUAAAGAAAAACUCAAUCUCAAAUACUAUUAACAUAAAAUUAAUCAAGGAAAUAAAUAAUCAAGAUAACAGGCUAACUUGAUUAUAAUACUCCUCCUUCUAAUCAAUUAUCUUUUCUUGACUUCAAAAUUGAAUUUAAACAAAAUCCCCAAAUGGCAUGGAAUUCCCCAGAUCUCAGUCAAAUUGAGCUAGCUAGUGCCUGUUAUCCUUUCUUUCUUUGUUCUGCAUUUGAGCUAAGCAAUUGUCAAAUGAGUAAAAUGCAAGAAAUGAAAUUAAUACACAUCAAGUCCCCUAAUUAUAAUUAACAUAAUGUUCAUAAAUAUCUAGCUCUAUUUCAAGUUUUAGAUGGAUCGAUGCUUGGUAGAAGAACUGGGUCUGGAACAAGAGCUGCAUUGAAAUUUGGGCCAAACUAUUGGCACCCCCACUUUUUGCAUCUACUCAUUUAAAUAUUUGAGUGGAAGUGGAUAUAGUUAGAUAUUUCAUCCAUUUUCACUGUGUAACCAGUGCAGAGAUUUUGGAUCUAUAAAACAUAGAAAAAUGAUGAAUGAAAUAAUUGUAAUGGUACUGAAAAAAGAUCAAUUAUUUCUUCAACCAUAGAAGCAGAAGAAAUCAAAAGAAAGCGACGUAGAUGAUCGGCGGGCCUGGUUUGUGUGUACCUUCAUGGGAGUCAGCAUCAUAAUCAACCCCACAGUUUGGUUGUUGAGCUAAAACCAAUGUAUUUGACAAACCUAUUGUACAUGCAUGAAUGAUAGUGAAAGAGAAAAAUUGCAAGUCACUACCAUGAAAAAGAAAUCGAUUCAUCGAGAUGAAAACAUUUUCAUGAUCGCGACAAGUCAUGUAUGGUUGACAUAAAUUCUUUUCUUUUCAUAGUCGACAUGUUGGUUUAACUUUUUUACUAAGAGCUUAUUGAAAGAGCUGGCAAAUGGGGCACAAUGUUGUUUAUUUGACAUUACUAUGAGAACUCUUUGAAUGAAGGGUUUGAGAAUAAUUAAGAGUGCUUCUAAGUUGGACCAUUAUAGCUAGAGAUGUUAUGGGUAUGCAUGAAUCAGAAUUUGAAAGUCUAUAUCUAAUGGUCCAUACAUAAGCUGCAUGUGUAAUUUCUUAUCCAAUUUUUUCAUGUGUUUGUCGGCAAAGGUUGUAGCAGUUAAUGUCACAAACUUGCUUUACUCUUAAACCUCACAUAAAAUGAUCGAAGUCAAUGUGGUAAAAUUGAAGAUUGCCAUUUGUUACCAAGAAAUAAGCGUAGCUAUCACUAAGAAGCUUGUAGAAACAAAACUUGAACCUAUGUAACCUGGUUCAAGUGGGUAAGAGCUUUACCAAUCAACAUAUCGUUUGAGAAAACUCGAGUUUGAUUUUUGGGAGAAACAAUUUCUUGAUCAAAUUUUACUUAUUUUACGAUUGAAUUCGGAAUUACUAGAUCAAUUUUCUUAGGAAUCAAGGGUUAACAAAAAAAAAAUUUGGAACCUAUAUAUAUAUAUAUAUAUAUAUUACUCAAAUGUUACACCAGUGUAAUUUGAUCCCUCCCAUAUAUAUAUGGGUUUGCUAACUUAGAGCUUCACACUUAGAUCCACCUAAAAACAUGAAGGUCUAAGUUAGCAAGGUGCACAUUUUCACUUUGGACAAAAAAACUUUGACAUUUAGUUAUUUUACACUAGAAAAUUGAGGAUUAGUUAGGUAAAUUUUAUUAAAUGUUGGUGCGCUCAUUUGCUAAUUUACACCUACUUAAUUAUAANNNNNNNNNNNNNNNNNNNNNNNNNNNNNNNNNNNNNNNNNNNNNNNNNNNNNNNNNNNNNNNNNNNNNNNNNNNNNNNNNNNNNNNNNNNNNNNNNNNNNNNNNNNNNNNNNNNNNNNNNNNNNNNNNNNNNNNNNNNNNNNNNNNNNNNNNNNNNNNNNNNNNNNNNNNNNNNNNNNNNNNNNNNNNNNNNNNNNNNNNNNNNNNNNNNNNNNNNNNNNNNNNNNNNNNNNNNNNNNNNNNNNNNNNNNNNNNNNNNNNNNNNNNNNNNNNNNNNNNNNNNNNNNNNNNNNNNNNNNNNNNNNNNNNNNNNNNNNNNNNNNNNNNNNNNNNNNUUGAUCAAAUUUUACUUAUUUCACGGUUGAAUUCGGAAUUAUUAAACCAGUUUUCUUAGGAAUCAAGGGUUAACAAAAAUAAUAAUUUAGAACCUAUAUAUAUAUGAGUUUGCUAACUUAAACCCACAUAAAAACAUGAAGAUUUAAGUUAGUAAGGUGCACCUUUUUACAUUGGACAAAAAAAACUUGACAUUUAGUUAUUUUACACUAGAAAAUUGAGGGUUAGUUAGGUAAAUUUUAUUAAAUGUUGGUGCACUCAUUUGCUAAUUUACACCCACUUAAUUAUAAAUAUAUGCAAUCUAAAUAAACAACAUAGGAAAUCAAAAAAUGACAACUUAAGAAAACAUAUUACUCAACUUUGAAAAGGUGCACUUUGUUAACUUAGACUUUCAUGUUAAAACAUCCGAUCAGUUUUACUAAACAACCUUUGGCUUGAAACUAUAUUAAAAUAGUAAAAAAUGGUAUUUUUGUCUAAAAUGAAAAGGUGCACCUUGCUAACUUAGACCUUCAUGUUUUUAGGUGGGUCUAAGUUAGCAAACCCCAUGAUCCUAAAUUACAUAUAUAUAUAUAUAUAAAAUAAAAAUGUGUUCAUGUGAGCUACUUUGGUUGUUUGAACUUCAAAAACAAAAUGAACUUUAUUUAAACAUAAUGAAUUCAUGAUCCUAAAUUAGAACCACCAAUUUAUCUAAAUAUUAUGCUUUGAAAUUUAUCGGUGUAAAUUGAGUAUUGUAAUAUGAGAUAUAAAACCUCAACAAUAAAUUAGUUUAAGUAGCAAGAGUAUCGAUUCUCUUAACCAAAUUGUAAGGAAUUCGAUUUUUAACUCUUUAUGAAGGAGAAAAUUCAAUUGACAAUUCAGAAAUUUUCUUGUGUUCCACAUAUUCUCUCAAUUUGAACCAAUGACAUAUUAAAAAAAAAAAUUAUAAAAAAAUAUAUGAGGAUGAUUUCUAGGAUGAAGGUUUGUUCCUCACCACUAAAGCAGACAAAAGACACCAUUGUUUAAUGGUUAAGACUUAAGAUUCAUUAAAAAUAAACAUUAUUUUUUUGAGAUAAAAACGGAAAUCGAACAAGACAUCAACGUCAAAUUGAGAAGAUUUUUUUUGGCAAAAUGAAAUUGAGAAAAUUGAAAAUGUGUAGAUGGGCCCAGCCCGACCCAGUUAAGAAUAGACAUCCAUUGUUUUCACUUUUUUUUUUGAUUCGCUUAUCUGAUCCCAUCACUAUUUCAACCAAUCAGAAGUUGCCAUGUCUAAAUAAGACCAUUCACUUCACGUGUGUGUGACCCUUUAUCAUGGAGUGAGUUUUGGCCGGAUUUUUUUUUUCUUUUCUAUUUAGAGCUUAUACAAAUAACUUAUAUAAUUUUUAUAUAUUAUUGUAAGUUUGUCAAAGUAAUUUAUGAUAGAAUAGCUUAUAAAAUUAUAAUUUUCACUAGUGUAAACUUAUAAAAUAACAUAAAACUUAAUUUAUAUUGCAUAAGUUAUUUGUAUAAGCUAAAAAAAACUAAGUCAAACGGACCCUAACUAUAGGAAGCCCGCGGACACUACUCGAUUGGUUUUUGGAGAAUUGGUUUUUUGUGUUUUUUAAAAAUGAAAUUGAAUCAAUUAUCAUCAUAUACCAUACAUAAAAGAAAAGACAUAUAGUUAAUGUAGUUAUUGGUUGGUUUGGUUUAUCGGUUUUUUUUAUAAAUUUUUUUUAUAAGUAAUGUUAUGUUGGUUUUUCUCCUUUGUCAGGACUUAAUCUUGAACCUCAUGCUUCUUAAUCCUUAGCUCAACUAGCUUAACCAGUUGAGCUACUCAUCCUACCCCGGUUCAUCGGUUCUUAAAAACUGAACCUGAGAACCGAACCAAACCACAUCGAUUUUUAGAUCCGAAUCAUAAAAAUCAAUUUUUUCACAGUUUGGAUUGGUUUGGAUCAUCAUUUCAAUUGAAUUUUUCUGACCGAUUACACCUCUACUAUUUAAGCAUCUUAAAUAAUAACUUUUUAUAAAAAUUUCAUGAAAAUGUGUGAAAUUAAGACAUUAAAAAUUGAAAUGACACUCGUUAGCAAGACAAAAAAAUUUAUAUUUAUCUAUUUUCUAUCUAAUUGAAUUCUAAAAAUAUUUUAAUUUCCUUCAUGAAUUAUUAGAAACCGAUUCAUCCGAUUCACAUUUUAAUUAAUCUUCAGGUUCUAGUCCGAAGCUAAUAAUGAAUGUGGAGAAACUUCAUCUUAUAUUAUAGUACCCUUAACUAUAAAUACGAACAUGAUUUAAAAGUAUCAAUGUAUCUUGUAAAAUAUAUAUAUAUAUAUAUAUGGGGGCUGCUAACUUAGACCCAGUUGGGUCUAAGUUAGCAAGGUGCACCUUUUUAGUUGGACCAAAAUACCCAUUCUUUUUAAUUAAUUAACCAAAUUACCAUCAAUGGACGNNNNNNNNNNNNNNNGAGGUUAGACAUGCGUAUAAAUUUAAAAAUAGAUAUUUUAGUUGCUGUUGGAGUUUUUCAUCCAACUAACUCAUUUUAGUUUCAACAAUUGAUCAUUGGAUAGUAUAAUGAUUAAAAAAAUUGUAGACAUCAGCAUAAUCUAAAUAUAUAAUUUUUUCAAAAGAUUUUUUUUAAGAAGUUAAAAUGAGAUAUAUUAAUAAACAGCCUCCUCAGCACAAAGUGUGUCAAGAUAGACUAUACCAAAGUUUACAAAAAGUCAUAGAAAGAAAAAAUCAAUCAUACAAGGCCCAAACAUAACAAAGGACAAGACCACCAUCUAUGGUGGUUUGAGAUCAAAGUAACACUCGCCGUCUUCAACCACCUAUAAGAAAAGAGUUUAAUCUUAUCCAACAUCUGAUAAAGAGUACUAGUCGAGUCUCUGAACAAUCUCUGGUUGCGUUCUGUCCACACAACCCAAACACUAGCAAGCCAAAUGAGCUGCAAAGAAGACCGACGUGCUCUAGUCCCACCGGCUGAGGAAGUAAAUUGUACAAAAUAAUUCCGAAUAGAAGUAGAACCCGACAGUGAAAUGUCAAUCCAAGUGCAAACUAGAGCCCAAAGAGAUCCAAACGUGCCGCAGGAGAUAAAUAAGUGUUGAGCCGUCUCAGCCUCUCCACAUCUAGAUACGCAAAAGUGCGCUGCAAAAAAGAUAAGAUUUGACAAAAUAAAUAAAUUAUUAGAGGUAGCAAUUGGAUACAGCAUUGUUAUUAAAUUAUUAGUUGUACUUUGUACCCCAAAAAAUUAAUUUAUUACUUGUACUUCAUGUUAAAGGAAGAAAGGAAAAUGCAACAUAUUUGACCAAGCAUUAUUUAGGGAGGAAGACGUGAGCUUGAUCAUAAGAUAAUGAAAGUUACCAAAUUAAGAGAAGUUAGUAAAUGCAAUAGGAAAUGUAAAUAUGAUGGGGAGCAUGUGAGCAUGCAGCUAGGUGCAAGCAAUAUGCCUCAUCAGAAUUCAGACUCUGACUCUUGAGAGCAAUAUGCAACUCAUGCUAAUAANNNNNNNNNNNNNNNNNNNNNNNNNNNNNNNNNGAUGAGACAAAAAUAUUAGGCAACUUUGUUUUCUUUAUCCACAAAUCUUAUUAGCUCUAUGCUAGAUUUCAAACAAAGUUUUAUAUUCCAAACCUCUCCACUAGGUUGUUAAUACCAACAACAAAUAUUCAUAAUUAGGGCAAGUAUACGGUGAAAGAUCUCGUUAAGUCUUUUACACUGCACAAGUCGAAAAUAUUAUUAUAACAAAUAUGAAUUUUAUAAAAUUUACCGUUGAAUUGAAAGUUUAUAUUACAUUGAUCAUCCAUAAAUUUUUAAAAAAAAUUGAAAAUCAUUUGAUAUGUUAUUAAAACAGAUCAAAAUUAAUGUUUUAUGAGUUUUUAUCGAAUAUUAUCGAUGACUACUAAACAUGGGAGAAGCUUAAGAAUUGUGGUUCCCUAACCUUAAUACAACUGAUAAAGCAUAUAUAAAAAGCAGAGCAGAGAUGCAGGGGACUCUCAUAAGAAAGAGUAAACUUGAGUCAUCAAAUUCCACUACAUAAAAUAAAUUAAAAAUCACAAACUUAAAUCAUCAACUCCACUCCAUUAAGCAUUGAACUUGGAGCAGUUUAAGAUGCAAAAAGUUAAGUAGAUUCCUCAAAGAAUUUACCACCAAGACUUAAACAAGUACUCAUUAGAAAGUGAAACCAUCACUAGGUUAUGAUUAAAACUAUGAUUAACAAAAAAAAAUCUUUGUAAAGAUAGUAAUGAUGCUGUUGAUUAAAAGAUGCUCUAACUUUCACUGCAGUUUUCACUUCAACUUUACAGUGCGCAUGGAAUAUACAUAACCAAAAAGAAGUCAGAACUUUCCACUUAAAAGAAUAAAAAAAAAAGCAGGAAAAAAAGAGAUAGUAUAAUAUUCAAAAUCUAUGCAGCGCAGACAUUCUUUAGAUUAGUCGUAUCUUGGUAUCAGACAACCAUCAAUAUCUGACAACUAAUACUUAUAAUUACAUUAAAUUAUGUUAUUUUUUCAAAUUAGUUAAUGUGUAGUAUCUGUGUUGUGUCAUGUUUGGUGUCUGUGUCCGAGCUUCAUAGUUGAAAAUCAAUUGAGUUGAGAAUUUAGAUUCAAAAUUGUUGUCUGAAUUCUCAUGCUUCCCUUCUGCAAUAAAACACCCAUCAAGCUGACCCAAAAGCCUUAUCUUUUUCAAAAAAACCAUAUUCUAUUGUUCAAAACUGUUAAACCAUAUAUUAUAAUAAUAAAUACCCUUCUCCUACCUUUUUUUUCUUGCAUAAUAAAUGAUCAAAUGCUUAUAUAUAUAUUAUACAAUUUCCUUACAUAAUUGUACAAGUACCAAUAUUUGUUUUAUUGCAAAAGUUUGUACUUUUUAUUCUUCCUAUCUAUAUAAUCUUGUCUUCAACAAACACACACUACAUCAUCAGUACUUGUCUUCCAUAGCAUAUUAAGGUACAAACUUUAUUCUCUCUUCAAUUGUUUUCAAUGUAUUUGGCCAAAGUUCUAACUUUACAGUUGUUUUACAAUAAAACAGUACAUAGAAUUCUGUUUCACAAUCUGACAUGUUUUUCUUUCUUUCCCUUUAUAUCACAAUUUUCAUCCUACUCAAUUAAGGAAUACAGUUAAUGAAUGCUACUAAGUACUAAUCAAGCUGAUUCAAUCAAACAAGGAUUUUGGUGUUCUGGUUUUGGAAGCAACUGGAUCUAGAAUUGGUAAGUUCUUCAAAACUAAAUUUAUAAAUGUUCCGACCUCAAAUCCGCGACACUAUUUUUUGAGGUAUUGUCCACUUUGGACUUUACGAAUCGCCUCCAAUUUUGUUCUUAAUUGAGAGCAGUUGAGGUUGGAACAGUACAUAUACUUUGUACCUAAACAUAAUACAUUAAUUGGAUGUAUAUUCUAGGUAACAUCGACAUUUCAGAUUGAAAGGUCGGACACGACACGUAAACAUGUACCGGUUACACUCAAUAAUUCAAUUUUCUCAAAUUAUUAUUGGUGUCAACGUAUCGGUAUUAACAUAUCAGUGUCGUGUCUGAUGUUCGUGUCUGUGUCAGUGCUUCAUAGUGUAUAUUUAUUUUAUCUGAUAUAUUGUUUUCAACAUGAUAGGCAAAGAGGGAUCAUUUCAUCAUUUCAUCAUUCAACUUUGAAUUAGACCUCUCUCUCUUGGCUUGGUUUCACAUAUCAUUAGAGAUUGUUGUCAAGUUAGUGACUAUAUAUAUAUAUGGAUAGUCUUAGUUGGAAUGAUGACUCACAACUUGUUGCCAACAUACCAAUCUUGUGGAACACUCAACCACAAGACCUUGAAAGAGACUACUCAAUGUCCAAUCCAAGUUCAAGUGUUUUUAAUUAUCAAAUGCAAGAUAUGCAGAAGAUUCAAUCAGAAGCUGAAACCAGUUGGGAAGAAACUUUAAUAUUCCAAUCAUACCCUUCACUUUCAGUCAAUAUCAACACACCUAACAAUUAUGUGCCAGAUUUCAACAUGUCCCAUCAACAAAACAGCAAGAGUACUACUACUGCUACAUGCUCUCUUGAAUCAUCACUUGAUUGUUUGCUUUCAGCAACUACUAAUAGUAACACUGACACUAAUUCUAUUCAAGAUGAUGGAAUUUCCAUGAUUUUUUCUGAUUGCAAAAACAGAAACUCAUGGAACUUCAAUGCAGUUUCUUCUGUUGAAUAUGAGAGUACUAAUGCUAGAAACAAAGACAUGCAGUAUCCAUUCAAGGAAAUAGAGGAAACAUUAUCUCAAAUUUCCUCAGAUAAAGGUAAAAUCAUUGAUUCUAAUUCCAAGGUUCAUUCCACAAAAAGGACUAAGAUUGAUCAAUAUGAUCCUUAUAAUUAUAACUUCAAUAUUACUCAGAAUUCUUCUUCCACUGAAUUUGGUUUCAAGCUUAUCUCAGAGAAACCACCAAAGUCAAAGAAACCAAGAUGGGAUAAUAAGUGUCAAGGUUCAUCAAAUAUCAAUUUCCAGCAACCAAAUUCAUCAAUGUCAUUGUCAAAUUCAUCCAUUCAUGAAGAGCCUGAUCCAGAAGCUAUAGCUCAAAUGAAGGAAAUGAUAUAUAGAGCUGCAGCUUUUAGGCCAGUGAUGAAUUUAGGUUUGGAAGCGGUGGAAAAGCCGAAAAGGAAGAAUGUUAAGAUAUCAAAUGAUCCACAAACUGUGGCUGCAAGACAAAGAAGGGAAAGAAUUAGUGAAAGGAUUAGAGUUUUGCAGAAGAUUGUUCCUGGUGGAACCAAGAUGGACACUGCAUCAAUGCUUGAUGAAGCUGCUAAUUACCUCAAGUUUCUUCGGUCACAAGUUAAAGCACUAGAGAAUCUAGGAAACAAGAUUGAUACAAUGAAGAAUUGUCCUUCUACAAGCAUAGCCUUUUCUUCGAACCCUUCAAAUUCCAUGCAAAGUACUCAUUUUCCCAUCCAAAACCCUAAUGACAACAUCCAAUAUUCUCAGGGUUGAAAUUGUUAUUAUCAAAACUACCGAAAAAAGUUGAAAUAGCAACGGAAAUUUAGAGACGGAAAAAAUGCAAAAUUCGUUUAUGUCACCAAGUGUUAUAGACGCCAAAUUUUGUUACUAGUUAGAUUUUAUUUUGUCUCUUAAUUUUGUGGUUAUUUCAACUUUUUCUGGUAUAUGGAAGGAAAGACCAAAGAUGUAAAAAGGGUCAAAAGAAGAACCCAAUAACCUCUAAUUAUUCAUCCAAUGACAAUGUUUAACAUAUUAUCAUGUUCUAGUUAAAGUUUUAAUUUUGUUCAUUGUCUAUGAUCAUGUAACUUUCUUCAUUAAUAUUAAUUUGUUUAAAUUUACCAUCAAUGACAGUAUUCUCUAGUUUCUACUUGUUAUUAUCAUAAUUAAUUAUGUGCAUUAUGCAUGCAUGAGAUCAUAGGGUGCUUUUGCUUACAUUUACACUACUAUGCUUUUGAUGCAAAUGAAGUAUAAAGAUGGUUAUUACAGUGAAAGUAAUCAAAGUAAAGGAAGUGAGAUUCACAACCUUUUAGCUUACAGAAAGGUCUAGCAAUUAUAACAUCUAUGAUUAUGAUCAAGGGCUAGAAAGGGACUGUCACUUUAAGUUUUCUUCAAAGUAUAGUUUAAUCCAAUCAAUGUACUUUUGUUGUAGUAUUUAUUUAAAUGAGUGAUUUGUAGCAUUGGUUAGCUAAACAAUGCAAGAGACAUUCUCUUAAGACUAGUGUCAGUGGUCCUGUCUCCUAGAUUCAACCCAAAGCGUGCUCUUGAAAAUCACAUUAUGCUUAGCACGUGUAUAUUCUUCUUUUUUGGCAGAACUGUUUGUCAUAACUAGUUUAUCGCAAAAGUCUAUACUUUUCAGAUUCAUUCAAUAACUGAUGUAUUUGGUUUAUAUUAUAAAACAUAUAUCUGCCGCCAAUGCGAGUAACUCUCAUUGAUUCAAUUGAUAAGGAUUCAGCUCACAUCUCAUCAUAAGAACUUAGAUUCGAAUCAGAUCUUUACAUCGAUGGUGGAUAAUAUGUAACAUAUCUUUGUAAGUGUAGCCUGGAGAUUGACCAUGGUGAGCUCGCGAGACUCAAGAAUUUGGACGAUCCAAAAUUUCAAUUUGAAGUUUGAUUUAUUUUUCCAAACCUAAAAUAUUGAAUUUGAAAUCGUACAAUAGAUCCCGAUCCAACAAUGACUGGUGUGUUGACUGCUUGAAUGCGUGAGAUUAUUGACUGCAAGACAUUCGACCGAAUGCAAGACCCAACUUUGCAUAGACUUUUACUAUUUCAUAACAAAAACCUCUCUGCCUUAUGAACAUUAAUUAAUUAUAAAACUAAGUUCUGUAUAUAAGAAUUAUUAGUGUAAUGUAACUAAUGAUAUUGUUAAUGAUGAUGACUAUGAUAAGGACUGCUACAACAAAAUGUGAUGUGGGCUUUGUGCUAUGGUGAUACUAUAAUAGAAAUUAAAUAACAUAUAUAUGUACAUUAUUUUAAUUUGGCUAGAUCGAAUAUCUACACUAAGCACAUGGUUCUGUGUUACUGUAUCUGCAUGUGUCAUAUAUUUCAAGUACAAAAUGAAACCCUUUCGGCCUUUCCUCUGUCAUGCUUGAGAAUCAUUCCUACUUUUUGUUCACCAUUGAUCAUCAAUUAUAUAAAAGACUAAUGCUACCACUAAUUAAUUAUAUAAAUUCUCUCUUCUUUUUGGUCUCAUGUCCAAGUCUAUCAACUAAGUCCUUUUGUUUUACACAGAUGCACAUAGUUGAAAUAUCCAAAAAGACCUUAUAACAAGCAUUAUUUUUUAUUGAAUGGCCUUAUAACAAGCAUUAUUAAUGUCUUGGUUAAGGUAUAAGCUACCAUGUUGGAUUAUCUCAUAGUAAACUUCACAUAAAGAGUUGAAACAAUAAAAAGUAAGUAACCUCUUUCUUUCUUGAAUAAUGGCCCCAAAUUUAGUGUCAUCCAUAGCUAUAUGAUUCAUGUAUAAGACACAUAUAAUGUGGAUAUCCUAUAAAAAUACACUUAGAAAGAUGCAUCAAUGUUGCACUUUACAUAGCUCGUAAGCGAUUUAUAUACCAUCUUCCAUCUUAUGUAUCUGAUAUCUACUCUAUCAACUAAGUCGAAUACAUUCAAACAAAAAAUACUAAAUUUUAUUCCCUCGAAAAUUUAACUGAGACUAAAAAGGUGUCGCGCGCGGGUGUACAAUAAUGUGUGUUCAUGUAUCAUUACUGAUAUAGAAAAUUGACUACCUACACACAAAUGAAGUUUUUUUAUUUUUUUUACGCAAAUUGUGUAUGUUUGGUAUCACGAUGAAUAUAUCAAAAUCUCCAUGAUCCACCAUGAUUUUAGCGUGUAGCGUAUCCACCGAGAUACUAGGCUUAGUUAGUUAAGUAUAUGUAACUUUUAAGUUUUUUCUUCAAACUACCCUUAAUGGUAAUAUUUUAGUGAGUCAUCACACAUAUUAACCAAGAGUAUUCUCAAAUUUUUAUAUUAAACAAGAUUAAGAAUAAAUUAGUUAGCAUGCAUUCAACAAACUAUCCGUACAUUUUAGCUGAUAAAAUGGAUAUUCCCUCCGUUUCAAAUUACUUGUCGUUUUGAUAAUUUUAGGCUAUAUUUUGUCUAUUAUACCCACAUGCAAAUUCCAAAUAUUUAGGAGUAGUUUGUUGAAACCGAAAAAGAUUUAAUAUAUAUUUGGAAAACUCAAGUUUUAUUUUUUAUUUUUUUUGGUACAUAACAUAUUAAUUUUUUUUGUUCAUAACAUAUUAAAUUUAUUGGAAAGAUAAAGUGUGUGAAAAAAAAAUUAUUGGUGAAUUAAAAUAAGUGCAUAAUAUAAAAAUAAGGUGCAAAAAUACACUUUCUUAAUUUCUUGUUUUUUUUUUUUUUCUAAAACGAUAAGUAAUUUGAAACAGAGGAGUAAUACUAAUACUUGACAUAUAAUGAUUUUUUUUUUUUGUACAAAUUUUUUAAAACUCGUAUAAUCAUAUUUCAAAAUUAGAAGAAAUGUUGACCCAUGAAUAUGUUUUUUAAAUAUGCAGCCUUGCUCCUGAAAUUGCAGCUGGUAUUGAAGGUUGACAACUGGGAAAAUAGAGAGGAUGAAUCUUGAUUGGACGAAAUUAAUUACAUAAAGAGGAUAAGGGUUGUUGAGUUCCUUGCUAAAUAUAGAAAUAUUUUGUGCGAAAAGGACCAAAUCCAAUUGGCUAGUGUUGUUGGUUUGGAUUUUUAUACGUUGAAUUUAAUUUCUUAACAAUUGGUGUCUUGAAAAAUGUUUUUGUUAACUCAUCUCAUUGUCUUGUAGGCUUUCACAAGUGGGAGAGGAAGAUCAGGAGAAUAACUAUAUUUGACUUAUUUUUGGUUGUUUAUGAUGCCAAUUUCUUUUAUUCCUUAAAUUUUAAAUUUUAUUUGGAUUCAAUAAACAAUCUAAAUUAUUGAGAAGGUAUUUAAUAAAAUAUUUAACAAACAUCAGUUUCCUUUAUUGAAUAAUUGUAAACCAAACAAAAACAAGCAAGAGUGGGAUGGGUAGUUCAACUAGUGGUUAAGCUAAUUGAGCUAAGGGUUAAGGAGCAGGAGGUCCAGAAUUCAAGUCCUGACAAAGGAAAAAAAAUUAAUACCUAACAACACCUAAAGUUGUUUAAAUGAAAAUAAAUUCUUAAUUUACCUAUUCCAAUUUAAUUUCUACAAUGAACUUAAAAAAUGUUUUAAAAUGAAUGAACGACUUAAAGGAAAUUCAAUAGCAGGUAAAUAAACAAAAUGCUGCAUCAUGUUUCCCUGUGAAGGGACUUGUAGAGUACUGUAGUGACAAAUUUCUGUUGAAACCUUUGAGUUGAUCUNNNNNNNNNNNNNNNNGCGUGUGUGGGAAACUAGGGACUCGACCAGCGUUACUUGUCGAAGCCUCUUCUGUUAAUGUCACCGGUAUUUGUGGUGGUAGUUCUGGCGGUGGCAUGUUGGAUUCAAUUUCAUAUAUGUUGUCGUAACUAGAUACUGGUGAUGGUGGAUCUGCAGCUUCAUUUUCUGCUCUUUGUGGGAUAUAAUCCUGUAACCAAUAAAAUAACAAGUAGAAGUUACAAUUAAAUCCCAACCUCUAAACUUACAUAAUGCAUUAUAGAUCAUAUUGCACCUGAUUUUAGGUUCUUUACAUAUUGUUUGCAGGACAGUAGGUUUCGGUUCAACGGCGUCAAUAGUUUUGUUCUGAACCUUACCAGUUUAACUUGCAUCUCAUAGUAGCAUAGGUUUGUUUUAUGAGUGCUUUUCUAAACCAAUGUAUUGUAUUUUGAGGUAAUUGCUUAAACCCCUUUCUUUUCGGUUUUUGGGUUACAGCUCUGAACCGUCCAAUUUGAUAGACAGUCCAAAUUGUUUUACUGUGUGAGUGAUCUAGGCCGUCCGAUCUCAAAUGAACAACCCAUACUUAUUACCGUGAGAAACAACGUGAAUGUUGGACAGCAGGGGAUCCUGGUCCAUGAGUUCCCCUCGGACUUCAUCCCGUUUUGUGGGUAGUUUUUCAUAUGAAAUUAUAUCCUACAUGUAUUUAGGCUAUUUGUGCGGCCGGUGUGCAAAUGUUAGUAAGUUAGCAGGUACGUUAGNNNNNNNNNNNNNNNNNNNNNNNNNNNNNNNNNNNNNNNNNNNNNNNNNNNNNNNNNNNNNNNNNNNNGACUAUAUUGGACACAUGAAUCAGUACAUACAUAAUACAUAUUCUCCUUUAAGCAUAAGGAAACACAUUCCUAGAACGAUAUAACACCAAAUGUUACAAAAAAUAGCACAGCAGCAUGAAGGCAACAUUACAAACGCGAUAAAGACUAAAUUGAAUUGAUUUUCAUGCUACUGGUGAUAGUAAUAAACAUCACAUAUGAAUGUGUAAUUGACUAGAUCAUGUGUAUGUACAAUAUUUAUGUAUCAAAAAAGGUAAACCAAGAAAUUACCUGCAAAUCCAAUAUAUUGUACCCAAAACCUGAAUCUUGAUUAAAACCUGAUGGAUAUUCUGGAGCAUGUGUCCAAUGACCAUCUACAUUGAAACGGUAAUAAUAGAUAUCUAUUGGAAGGGUUUUCUCAAUGACAAAGUUAUUUUCACCUACAUUCUGCAAGGCCUCCCUACGGAACAAAGAGUAAAAAAUUGUCGUGAUGAUGAUGAUGAUGAUGUAAAAUAAAGAAUUAAUUGCAUAUUUGCUCAUUUAAGUUUACAGGUUGUCACAUAGAGUUUUAGACGAAAUUAACUUAAAAUUUAACGAAAAUAAGGAACGUAUGUUGACAUCAGUAACAUAAGGAUCAACUUAAAAGUUUUUUAACAUAAAAGACCAAAUAUGUUUUUAAAUAAAAAAAAAUGCAAUUAAGCGGAAAAUAAAAUAAGAAGUAAACAACUAUUGGUUAAUUACUCUGUUUGCCAGUUGUUCCAUGAUCCUGCAAUAGUAACAUUGAUGCCUCCAUGAAACCAUGAGAUCCUUACAGUUUUGUACCUUUGAUGAAUCACUGUUUCUACAUAUGACAGAUGAGGUUGUGCCAUCAUUCCACCAGGUCUUUGCAUGCCUUGCCAGGAACCUUGAAAUCAUGUAUUUCAAAUUCAAUUCUGAUUUUAUUUUGCUUCAGUGUUAGAAUAUAUAUAGUNNNNNNNNNNNNNNNNNNNNNNNNNNNNNNNNNNNNNNNNNNNNNNNNNNNNNNNNNNNNNNNNNNNNNNNNNNNNNNNNNNNNNNNNNNNNNNNNNNNNNNNNNNNNNNNNNNNNNNNNNNNNNNNNNNNNNNNNNNNNNNNNNNNNNNNNNNNNNNNNNNNNNNNNNNNNNNNNNNNNNNNNNNNNNNNNNNNNNNNNNNNNNNNNNNNNNNNNNNNNNNNNNNNNNNNNNNNNNNNNNNNNNNNNNNNNNNNNNNNNNNNNNNNNNNNNNNNNNNNNNNNNNNNNNNNNNNNNNNNNNNNNNNNNNNNNNNNNNNNNNNNNNNNNNNNNNNNNNNNNNNNNNNNNNNNNNNNNNNNNNNNNNNNNNNNNNNNNNNNNNNNNNNNNNNNNNNNNNNNNNNNNNNNNNNNNNNNNNNNNNNNNNNNNNNNNNNNNAUCAUGUAUUUCAAAUUCAAUUCUGAUUUUAUUUUGCUUCAGUGUUAGAAUAUAUAUAGUACAAUGUAAGAAUAAUCUAUUUUCUAAUAGAAUCAAUUUCUGAUUUUAUUUGCAUCAAUCUGAUUAUCACAUAUCAUUAAUUUCUACUUUUGGUACUUGGUGGAACAAUUUUAUUUUUUGUUCAAAUCUUGGUGUUUCACACUGUAUAUCUUUCUUAGCAUAAAAAAAAAAAACUGUAUAUCUUUCUUAAUUUAUUUUAUUUUUUCACUCAAUCUUUCUUAUUAUAUUUUCACUCAAUCUUUCUAAACUAUAAUAUAAUCUAAAUACAUCGAUUUUUUAAUACCUAACAAUUUUUUUACUUGUAAUAAUUAUCGGAGGGACUAUAUCAAUUGAAAUAUUACUAACUAGAAGAUUCAUAGUUUUUAUUUUGGCUUUCACCACCAGUUUAAUCUGGUUCGGGGGUCAGUUCUGGCAUCAAGUGGUUCCAACUUCCAACCCCCUCCNGGGGGAUCGAACUGUGGUCCUCUCUUCGAAGUCCAGCGUCAAUCACCACUGAACCAACUAACGAUUGGUUAGAAGAUUCAUAGUUUAAACCCUAUAGACUAAACAUAAUCCACNNNNNNNNNNNNNNNNNNNNNNNNNNNNNNNNNNNNNNNNNNNNNNNNNNNNNNNNNNNNNNNNNNNNNNNNNNNNNNNNNNNNNNNNNNNNNNNNNNNNNNNNNNNNNNNNNNNNNNNNNNNNNNNNCAUUACUAACAAGUGAUUAGAUUUAAGUGGUUAAUGAGUUUUUUGUAACACAUCCUUUUGAAGAAUCUCAAUUUUAUUCUCGAAGAGAAACAAUUUUUGUAUGAGAUUUUCCUAAUCCCUCGAUCGAACACCAAAUUACCAAAAUCCCUCUCAUGUGAACCAGCCCUGGCCAUCUAGAAUAGCAUCACACUUCUAUUAGAAUACUCAAUUUUAACUCAAUUGAACAAUUUUGUUUACUUCUCCCUCUUAAAACUAAAACACAUCCUAUGAGUUUGGUUGCAAACAUGACCCAUUUAGAGUUUCCUUAAAAAUUAAAUCCUUAAAAAAAAAAUCAUAAUCUUAAANNNAUGGUAUUCAUUCUAUUGAACACACACACAAAAAAAAAAAAAAAAUCAUCCUCACUCCUCAAACACACAAAGAAAUAAAAAAAAUAAUAUUUUUUAAAUAAAAACCCAUAAUUUCUCUUAAAUGAAAGAAAUUGAAAAAAAUAAUUAAAAAAAUCACGUGUCUCUCUAACCUGUGGCAUGACAGAGGGAGCUACAAAUCCAUUGGUAUUAAGAAAAAGUAUCUCAGAAGGCACAAAAACAAAAACAAAAACAAAAACAAAAACAAAAAAAACAAAAACAAGCAAGAAAUCUAAUUUAAUUGAUUUUGCUUCCAGUUAAUUAAAUUGGUGAGUGUUCUUUGUCUCCCGAUAAAGCGCGUCUGGCAAUAUUGAAAUUACUACGGAGUUAUAUAUAAGGCCGGUUCCGAGAUUUUGGAGGUCUAGGGCAAAGGAUAAAAAUAGAUCCCUAAUAAAAAAAUAAUUUUUUUUUAAAACGAACAUCAUUUAUUUAAAAUAUAAAUAACAUCAAUAAUAAAAAAAUAGUUAUAUUCUAAUCAAUAAUAACAAAAUACAUUUUCAAACUAAUAUCGAUAUUGUUUUUAAUAAAAAUUGCAAUAUAAUUUUAGAAAUUAAUUCUUUAUUUUAAGAGAAAUAAAUUAAAUCUUUAUUUUAAAAGAAAUAACAAAAUAUAGUUUAAGAAAAAUAAAGCAGUAAAACUUUCUAUGAAUUAUAAAGUGACUGUAUUUAUAGAUUUUUUUUUUAUUAUUUUAUAAAAAAACACAAUUUUUAAAAUAAAUUACGUAAUGUUUAAUAUGAAUGGGUACAAUUAUUUGUUGGUGGUAAUGGUAUGGAAGUGUAGUGGCCUAGUGGGCUCAACUUCCGUUUGUAAUUUUAAAUCUGCAAAUAAUACUUGCUCUAGUUUUAAUAUGAUGGGCUUGCAAAAAAAAAUUGAUGACCCAAUUUUUUAGAGGCCCUGGGCUGGGGCCCUGCUUGGCCCGGCCCAAAACCGGCCCUGGUUAUACAUUUGUGUAUUGAUAAGACAAUUCACUAUUUCUUGAAGCUCUAUCUCUCCCCCGGAUAAACCAUAUAGCCAAGAGAAACCAUGAACCAGAAUAGAAGAACUUGUCUCACCCAUGAGUAAAUAUUUCAUAGUAGCCUUAUUAUACCGUACAUCUUUCUUCCUUCUAAUGGCGUUUCACAUUUCCCCUUAAAUGACUGACUUCUCUCUCAAGCACGGUGUUGAUCCAUGAUCCACAAGUCGAGAACCUAUCACGAAGCUUUAUCAAAUUCACAACCACCAAUGUCGAUUCUCCCAAAUUGAUAAUCUCGAGAAAUGCUACAACCGCGAAGGUAGGAACAAUCUCAGUAGAUACAAUUUUUUGUCAGACUUACUUGUGGUUGAACUCUAGGUUACUGGCCCCUUUCUGCUGGGAACUAGAUGGUUAAUACUCCCUAUGCUCUUUUAAGUGUCGUUUUAGCAUAAAACUCUCCAACCAAAACAGUAGAUUGUUGUAUUCUUUUUCUAAUUCUACCCAUAUUUAAUCCAUCAUUUACUUUAUCUUUUCUAAUAAAUUUUGUAUAUUCACUCUUCCUCUCUCCAAUAAAUUUUAUGAAAAAUAUGAAGUAGAGUUAUUGAGAAAUGAUGUAAUUGACAAAUUGUACCUUAAACUAUCAAAACGACACUUAAAUAAACAAAAAAUUAUUCUAAAACGACACUUAAAAAAGAACGGAGAGAGUACCAAAAACAAAAAGUGAAAGAGAUACAUAAAUGUAAUAGGAGUUUCGUAAAUAUAAAAUAAAAUAAUAAGGAUUCAAAUUUAUAUCCGUCUUGUAUUUCAAUCAUAUAUGAUGUUCAUUCUCACAUAACAUGUAUGACUUUUUUUUUACGUAACAUGUAUGACUUAAAUGGUCAUGUUUAAUACAUAAAAAUGAGAGGUAUUAUUAUUUACAAGAUAUAUUUGAUUUCUAUAGUUGUUUUGUUGGUGUUAUUUGUUAUUGAUUUGCAUGAUUAUAGUCAUAUUUAAUCCGUGAUAUGAGAGAAAAUAAUUGAGUGUGAAUGAUCCAAUAUUCAAAAUUCAUUUUUUUAAUUUAAAAGUAAUAAUAUAUUUAUUUUAUUUUAUAUUUUCUUUUAUUAAUAUUCGCAACACUUAAUUUUUUGAUUAAAUAUAAUACCUUUUCUUUAAAAAAAUUCUUCCUUGAUUAUAAAACUCUUAUUCAAGUUCAAACUAAUAUAACAUUCACAAUUGGCAACAGAAACCUGCUCUUGAAGUAACUUAGCUUUAAAAAGGGUGUUUGAAUAUAAUGCAAAAUCAGCGUUGACUAUUUAUUACUUAACUUCGAAUUCAAACCUUUGCAGCACCUAAAAAAACCAUGACUGGUUCCUAGUAUUAGUAUUACUAUUUUUUAUUCAUUGCAUUCAUGUUGUAAAUAUCAUAUCCCAUAUUUCUCAAUUGUAUUGUAACAAACUAACAAUGGCAACCAAUUCUUUGAAGUUUACUUUGUUGACUAUUUUCAUUUUGCCAUGGCUGUUUCUCCAACUUUACCAUGUCAUGCUGCACGCCUUCCAUUAGCAGGUAAUUAAGCACACUAUGCCACCUUUUUUUUUUUUGUUUUGUUGGUAUUAACUCUCUAGUUCUCCGGGGAAAGAGACCUCGGUAAUCUAGAGUUCAGUCACGAGGUAAGUAAAGUCUGAUUAAAAAUUGUUUCUACCAUGAAUCGAACUUAGGUUCUCCCACACUAUGUCUCGUUUUAAUUACAUAUAACAUAAACUAUUCAAAUAGAGAAUUCAAUUAAUUGAUCAUGCCUUAUCAUAUACUAUAUGGUUUUGCAUAUAUGAUGAUUAAUGGUUUUCAUGAAGUUUAUUUUUUGAUAUGCAGUUAGUAGGCCCAUAUGUAUUGCAUGUGUAUGUUGUACUCCACCACCUACAGGCUCUUGCUGCAACAAGUGUUGUGCUUCUCCAAUUCAAACUCAGAAUAUUGAUCAAUCUCAUCCAUAGUAUGGAAAGCUAGCACAUGCCUUAUUGUAUAAAGUUCUUAAUCAUAUCUAUUAUAUAUGAUUCUUAUUUUCAAAUAAUUCGGGAGUACUCUUUUAAGUCUCUCAUGUAAUUUCAUAUAUGUGUAACAACGAUUCAAGUUAUCGACAAAGCAAGAAAAACUUAGAGUAAAUCCCAAAUUAUAUUUACAGUACAUAAUAUAUUACUUUUGAAUAUAAUAACAUACAAAAAUUCUUUCACUCGCGCAACGUGUGACUCUCAUUUCUAGUUUUAAUUAAAUUACUACCUCGCCAGAGAGCUCUCACCACUAAUUCUGUCAAAGGAUACAUAAUUUAAGGCGUCUGGUAAACUCUCAGGGUCAGGGGUGUAAUUAGAGUCAGGCAAAUCAGUGAUCUUGUUCUCGAAACAUUGUUUCAGUUCCAUAACUACAUGUGUCAUGGUUGGCCUAUUGAUUGAAGUUCUUGCUACACAAGCCAUUGCAAUAUCUAAGGCUUUAGUUGCAUAGUUAAUAUCGAAUUCUCCCUUUAAUCUGGGAUCCACGAUAUCUUUUACCCCGUUUUCCAGCAGCAUAGAACUAACCAGUUGAAUAAUAUGGAUUUUCUCUUCGGUUUUGGUUAUGGCAGGCUGUCCUGUAAUUAUCUCGAGCAAAACUACUCCAAAACUGAAAACAUCACUUUUUUCUUUCAACCUGCUUAAUCUAUUGUACCUGCAAAAUAUAAAUUUACAUUCAACAAUUUCAUAUGUAUUAAGAAAAUUUGAUAUUGUAUUAAUUUUCCAUUUUGUGUAUUGAUGUUUGUCAAAUGAAACUUGUAUUUAAGGAUGGAGUAGUAUUAACUCACUCAGGGUCGAGGUAUCCUAUCGUGCCAGCAACAACCGUGAAGAUAUGAGUGUCACCUUCGUUAGGAAAGAUCUUUGACAACCCAAAAUCAGCUAGUUUACCUUGGAAUUUUUCAUUUAGUAAGAUGUUUUUAGAUUUAACAUCUCUGUGAACAAUUGGCGGAUUGCAGCCAUGAUGCAGAUACUCCAAUCCUACAGUUGAAUGUUCAAAUUAAGUUAAGUUUUGUUGCAUAAAAUGUAACUCUUUAUGAGCUAUAUUUCGAUCGAUGAAAAUCAUAAAACUAAUGACCAAAAGGAUUCAUAUAUACUACUACUCACCUUCUGCAGCGUCCACUGCAAUUUGAAGUCGUUGAUUCCAACUCAAUAUAUUUUCAUUUUUAUCUGUAUUCAUGAUAAAAAGAAAUAUUGUUUUAAGAUUCAUACAAGCUGAACAAGUUUUUGACUAAAUUUUUGGGCAUCCUUUGACGAUGUAGAUGUUUUACUUUUAUGCAGAUGACAGAUAUUCGAUACGAAUUGCUUGAAUAAAUAUAAUAUUAUAACAUAUUGACUUGAUCAUGAACAAAACCUGAUAAGUGCUUGGCUAAGUCUCCAUUAGCCAUAUACUCAUAGAUGAGAGCCAUGUUGGUGCCAUUAUCACAGUAACCUAUAAGACCAGUUAAGUAUUUAUGAUGAACUACAGCAUAAAGUUUGGCCUGAAAAGAAAACCAUAAUUCCUCCGGUUAACAUAAAACUCGUUAACUAUACACGCGCGCGCGCGCGCGCACACACACACACAUACACACAGGCAUGAUGAAAUUUUCCAGUUAAUUAAUGAUACUACCUCUGCUUGGAAUUGCAUAUGUCCUUGAGCUGAUUCGGAAGAUAACAUUUUGACAGCUACCUCCGUAUCAUGAUCAAUCCAGCCAUGAUAGACAGUUCCAGAUGCUCCUUUCCCCACAACCUUUUCAAAGUUUC